GAUAUUCUGGGAGUGCUCAUUCAUUGAGAAUCGUAUUUGCUCUAUGAUUUUGCCUUGGCAUUGUGAGCACAUCUUGCUGAGGUCUUAGUUCUGCACUCUACGAUUCAGCUUUGGCUGUGCAGACACUACAACUUUUAGAUCAGAUCUUGACACUUUACGAUUUCUGUCAUUAUGCUUGUUGUCUUCAUCUGAUCUUUCUCGACUACGAUCUCUGCCUUUGAUAUGAUUAGUAGACUCUAC
RNAcentral lists this long non-coding RNA (240 nucleotides) under Panax ginseng (ginseng). RNAcentral's name for it is "long non-coding RNA (PGIN_LNC012339)". The record is from RNAcentral. Lineage: Eukaryota; Viridiplantae; Streptophyta; Magnoliopsida; Apiales; Araliaceae.